UACAGAGGUCUCAAGCGUUGUUCGGAUUCAUUGGGCGUAAAGGGUGCGUAGGUGGCGCCGUAAGUCGGGUGUGAAAUUUCGGAGCUUAACUCCGAAACUGCAUUCGAUACUGCGGUGCUUGAGGACUGGAGAGGAGACUGGAGUUCAUGGUGUAGCAGUGAAAUGCGUAGAGAUCAUGAGGAACACCGGUGGCGAAGGCGGGUCUCUGGGCCGAAAUUGACGCUGAGGAGCGAAAGCGUGGGGAGCAAACAGG
RNAcentral lists this ribosomal RNA (253 nucleotides) under uncultured bacterium. RNAcentral describes it as "partial 16S ribosomal RNA". It matches the Rfam family "Bacterial small subunit ribosomal RNA", at positions 524 to 776 of the family's 1533-position model. The record is from RNAcentral.